UGGGGAAUUUUGCACAAUGGGGGAAACCCUGAUGCAGCGACGCCGCGUGAUUUAGAAGGCCUUCGGGUUGUAAAAAUCUUUUCUAUGGGAAGAAAAUGACAGUACCAUAGGAAUAAGGACCGGCUAAUUACGUGCCAGCAGCCGCGGUAAUACGUAAGGUCCGAGCGUUGUCCGGGAUCAUUGGGCGUAAAGGGUACGUAGGCGGGUAAGCAAGUUAGAAGUGAAAUCCUAUAGCUCAACUAUAGUAAGCUUUUAAAACUGCUCAUCUUGAGGUAUGGAAGGGAAAGUGGAAUUCCUAGUGUAGCGGUGAAAUGCGCAGAAAAUAGGAGGAAUACCGGUGGCGAAGGCGACUUUCUGACCAAAACCUGACGCUGAGGUACGAAGGCGGGGGUAGCAAACAGG
This 402-nucleotide ribosomal RNA is filed under the name bacterium. Its description in RNAcentral is "partial 16S ribosomal RNA". It matches the Rfam family "Bacterial small subunit ribosomal RNA", at positions 355 to 776 of the family's 1533-position model. The record is from RNAcentral.